RNAcentral lists this long non-coding RNA (3201 nucleotides) under Mus pahari (shrew mouse). RNAcentral's name for it is "lncRNA (MGP_PahariEiJ_G0006259.1)". Lineage: Eukaryota; Metazoa; Chordata; Mammalia; Rodentia; Muridae. The record is from RNAcentral.
GUCGUCACUCGGUCGCGCGCCCUCCGCCCACGCGCUCCUCUCAGAUCCUGAGCCCUUGGUCCCGGGACGCUAUCGCCUCAUCUUUCCCUCCUUGAGGUCCAGCCUGGCCCAAUGAUGACUGCCUGGUCCUGCGGGGCUACCUGCCAGGGCGGGCGGGCGCAGGUGCUGAGCGGACUUUGCAACAGGAAGCACGGGUCAGCCUUGGAAAGAAGGCGGACACUCUUAGGUGGGUCAGGGCAAAAGAAAGAGAGACCCAGGCUCUGAAAUCUUGUCUUUCCACGCGAUCUCCUCAAAGACCAACACAGUGGCACCCUCCCCCUGCUUCCAGCUCCUCUCCAAGCCUUGUGUGAUUUUGGGGUUGGGGUACUUCGUUACCACCACAGCUAGAUAGACCUUCCAUCUUUCAGGACCUGCUCCUCGGCCCUCCAGUUCAGCCCUAAUAGGGUGAGGUGGGAACUGAAGAACGCCAAGCCCUGGGUAGUGAGUACACUGGGAAGAUUCACACAACUCCUGCUGGAUUUCAGUCCCAAAGCUGCCCUGACUCUCUACCCAAACUGUAUUAACUGCCUUGGGGGUGAAAGAAGGCCCCCGUAGAGCUAAGGUGCCAGCAGAGGGUUUGCAGGUAGAGGCAGUGAGAGGGGAGCCUGAUGGGGGGGGGGGAGGCGGUUGCCUAGCAACCCCACAGCUGUCUGUUGACCUAGAAGACGCUGUGCAGUCUUGACACAGCUGGUGUUUACAUGUAACCGAGGCUCUGGCUUAGUGCUUGCUUGGAGCAAAGCUGAGGCAGGGCCCUCGUGGCAGCCUGGUCCCAACCCUGCCCGUCGUGGGCUCCAUGUCUGCCUGCCCUGUUUACACCUCUGCCAUCUCAAGUCCACAGAGAAAGGAGCAGAAGAAAGCAGACCUGAGGCUUUGGGAAGGGCAAAGGUACAUGCUCAAACACAACCCGAAGGCCUUCCACACAGAAUAGGGAGAGACUUGGAAAAGCAAACCGCGGGCUUGAGGCGUGGCUCAGCAAUGGGGAGAUCUUGAUGCUCUUCCAGUGGACACCAGAGGUACGGUUCCCAGCACCACCCGCGUGGCAGCUCACAACUGCCUGUCAUUUCAGUGCCAGGGGAUUUAACGCCCUCUUCUGGCCUUGGUGGGCAUGUCUACAUAUGACACAGAGAGAAAUGCAUGUGUACAUGGCACGUGGUGGUACAGGUAUGCACAUGGUGCACAUAUGCACAAGCAGGCAACACACACACACACACACACACACACACACAUUUCAAAAUAUAUAGCUUUAGAAAAGAAAAACAGAAGGAUACCACAUGCCAGUGCCACAGAGAACAGCCACGCACACGGGGACACCUGGUCACAAAUCAAGUGACAGAGGCAUAUGCCAAGAGGUGAUGCAUGCCUGUAAGUCCUGGCACUUGAGGAGGCAGAUGCUGUAGGAUGAGGUUUCCAUGGUCAGCCUUUGUCUCAUGGAGGAUUCAAGGCUAGCCUGGACUACAUGAGACCAUGUCACAAAACAAAAUGCAAAGAAGUGACAUAGGAAUCCAGCCCAUCACAGAGAUGCCUAAAGGCACACACACACACACACACACACACACACUACAGGAACACAGUUAUCACAUAUUUGACGCAUGGACACAGAUAUACCUGCAGAUAGAUUGACACCAAAGACAGGCACGGACCAUCCAAUAGACACACUCAGAGCCCACCAGCAACUCCCACACACGCCCAGCUUAUAUAGUAUUUGCAGGGCUGUGUGACAAAAGACAAAAGCCCACAUACAUAGUCAGCCACAUGUGCUCAGUAGCACACAAGGACACAUUCUUCCCUUCAAUUGAGUGCCCACAGUGCCCAAGGCAGAUAGUGGCUGAAACCACCAGCACAGGAAGACACACCCAGGAGCCCCACAGGACCACAGGCCCUGACAUGUCCCACCUGAACCUACACAUGUACUCAAGGCACAAACAUGUGGCAGCCCAGGGUGUGGUAAGGACAGAGUUGAGGCUUCUCCCCACCCACAAGCUGUCCAUAGUGACACAUCUGCCUUGAAGUUGGAAGGUCCCUAGUCCCAGGAACAGGGCUGAAUGAACCCCCAUGCUGCCAGCUGCAUCCCUAAUCCUCAGUUCCAGGGAACAGACAGUACCCAGACAGUGCCAUCGGUUCCCUCAGGGAUUCUCUAUCUGGAUGAGCAUAGGGCCCCCUAAUCUCUCAAGUCUCUGGACCGACAAAGGGGGGAAGGUCCUGCCCCAGAAACCUGGAGUAUGAUGGAAACGUAUCUCCUUCAAGGAGAGCUUCAGACACAUACAUAUAGAGACACAUAUGAGCAAGUGACAGGUUUGGGGCGGGACGCGGCCUGGAGGGCUUCCUGAAAGAGGCGAACCUGGAGUCUGGCUUUGGAACCUAGAAAAACUAGAAGCAGGAAGGAUGAACAUAUUGAAAAGGGCCUCCUUUCCUUCCCUGUCCCAACCCCUCAUCCAGCAGUUCCUCCUCCCCCAGGGCCCAAGGGGCCGGCUGGGGCCCCACAGUCCCAUCAGCCCCAGCCAUGAGCAGAAGGAGGAGAGAGGAUAUUUUUAGCUUCUCUGCCGCUGACAUUUCGCAGCAGGCGACCUGGGGUGAAGCUGAGUGAGUGCUGAAGGCUGGGAGAAGCCGACAGCGCCUUCCCGCCCCCACACACACGCACACAGAGCUGUGCACACACAGCCCUGUCCCCAACACUAGCAAUGCCAUGUCAUGACACAGCUUCAGGUAUGCAGUUCCACACUGAGGCACACACAGGCACCCGAGAGCACCAAUUCGGUUCACAUGUCACGCGUGACAGAAACCUCUCCUAUCUGGACACGCACAAUAAAAAAUGUCCAUUCGUUGAGCCGGGCAGUGGUGGCGCACGCCUUUAAUCCCAGCACUUGGGAGGCAGAGGCAGGCAGAUUUCUGAGUUCGUGGCCGGCCUGGGAGUUUAUACCCAGUCUGUGGGACCCCAGAAUCCACAGAGUGAAGAGGGAGCGUUGAUCCCCAGAGAUUUGACCUCUGACCUCCCCUGUUCCUGAUGUCCGAGAGCACACGUGCUAAAAGAACGUAAUUACCCUUUUAUUUCUUUGUUCGUUUCAGAGACAGAGUCUCUCUAUGUGGCCCUGGCUGUCCUAGAACUUGCUAUGUAGACCAGGCUGGCCUCGAACUCACAGAGAUCCUCCUGCCUCUUCUUCUCAC